CCUACGGGAGGCAGCAGUGAGGAAUAUUGGUCAAUGGCCGAGAGGCUGAACCAGCCAAGUCGCGUGAGGGAAGACGGUCCUAUGGAUUGUAAACCUCUUUUGCCGGGGAGCAAAAAGCGGUACGUGUACCGCAUCGAGAGUACCCGGAGAAAAAGCAUCGGCUAACUCCGUGCCAGCAGCCGCGGUAAUACGGAGGAUGCGAGGGUUAUCCGGAUUUAUUGGGUGAAAGGGGUGCGCAGGCGGCGAGUUAAGUCAGCGGUAAAAUUUCGGGGCUCAACCCCGACGAGCCGUUGAAACUGGCGUGCUAGAGUGGGCGAGAAGUAUGCGGAAUGCGUGGUGUAGCGGUGAAAUGCAUAGAUAUCACGCAGAACUCCGAUUGCGAAGGCAGCAUACCGGCGCCCAACUGACGCUCAGGCACGAAAGCGUGGGUAUCGAACAGGAUUAGAUACCCCAGUAGUC
RNAcentral lists this ribosomal RNA (459 nucleotides) under uncultured bacterium. Its description in RNAcentral is "partial 16S ribosomal RNA". It matches the Rfam family "Bacterial small subunit ribosomal RNA", at positions 338 to 795 of the family's 1533-position model. The record is from RNAcentral.